Molecule: long non-coding RNA, 679 nt
Organism: Triticum aestivum (bread wheat)
Lineage: Eukaryota; Viridiplantae; Streptophyta; Magnoliopsida; Poales; Poaceae
Exons: 3
Source: RefSeq, a predicted model, not a curated record
UAGUUAGUUUGUUGUUGCUAGUGGCAAUGCUAUUUGUCUAUUGCAAUUGACAACAGGUUGGUUAAAAAUUGAUGUACAUGUUAGGAUUAAUGCUAGACUAUUCUCGUGGAUGCCAAUCUCCUAGAUUAUUUAGAUAUAUGGCUUUAGUGUGGUUUAUAGUCAUGCUCCUGAUGUUGCUAGGGUGGUUGACUGUCAUGUUGUGGCUAGGCUCUUUUGCUGUUGGAUGGUACAUUCUUAGCUGGCUUAUGCGGGAUCUAUGUUCUAGUGAAAAGAGUGUUGCUUGGAGUUCUAGUCUCUCCCAGAUCCCUAAUUAUUUUGUUUGUUCGAUUUAGAGCAGCAGGUGCCCUUUAUGGACAACAUCAACGAGGAACAUGCUGGACCACACGCCCAUGCUCUUGAGCUAGACGAGGACAUCAUCGUGUCGUACCUCAAUCUCGAGGUGACGAUGAUGCCGACUCACCGCACAAGUGGUUGAUGAACAACUUUGCCAAGCACUAGGCCAACCUGAGUGUGGGCCCCAUCACAUCCAAGAUGAUGGACGGGACCGGUGUUGGUUUUUUGUGAUUUUGCUUGCCUAGCCGCAACCAUGGACGUGGUGAUGCCUGGCCUCGGCUACAACUGCACAGUGAUUGAAGAUCAACCCUGCCAAGUUGUUGAAAUAAGCACUCCAUGGAUGGAA